Molecule: long non-coding RNA, 434 nt
Organism: Mauremys mutica (yellowpond turtle)
Lineage: Eukaryota; Metazoa; Chordata; Testudines; Geoemydidae
Exons: 3
Source: RefSeq, a predicted model, not a curated record
UUCAUGCACCAGUUGAAUUUUGUGUAGUGAUGGCUUUUUCUUGGGUUACGUACUGCGUUUGCAGAGGAAUCAUCCAGGAGCGGCAGCCGGAGGAAAAAUUGGCAGAAGUGGACCUGAGCUGCCUGGAAAUCCUCUUAAGUGGAGAUCAACAGUCCUCAGCUUUCUGCCUCGUGCAUAACUGCCUUACCAAGGGAAAAGAAGUCACGUGUCAGAGUCUACUGCCUUCAUGUCAUGGAAAGUGAGCGAGAGCAAUGGGACUUCAAGAACUACUGAUGCCAAGGAAAAGCCGUCCUACUGGGAGUGGAACAGUCGCCACUCUCAAUGAGAACUGUCUGUUUUGGUGAUUGCUCUGCUCACGGCCCACCUUGCUCCUGUUUGAAGAGGAAUCAUCCAGGAGCCCUUGAUGGGCGAGAAUAUGCAGAAGUGGACCUGAG